Molecule: small RNA, 138 nt
Filed under: Yersinia enterocolitica subsp. enterocolitica 8081
Lineage: Bacteria; Pseudomonadati; Pseudomonadota; Gammaproteobacteria; Enterobacterales; Yersiniaceae
Description: isrN Hfq binding RNA
Rfam family: isrN Hfq binding RNA
Source: Rfam by way of RNAcentral
CUCUUACGGAAGAGCGCGACACUCUGCGCGAAGAAGUUAACCGACUUAAUCAGGAGAUACGUCCUGCAUGCCUGGCGUAUGCUCAUCGUAAACUGCGUGGUCAGAUAGUUGAUGAGCUCACGCUUUAUCGCUGGUUUU